CCUACGGGAGGCAGCAGUAGGGAAUAUUGCUCAAUGGGCGAAAGCCUGAAGCAGCAACGCCGCGUGGGGGAUGAAGGUUUUCGGAUUGUAAACUCCUUUUGUUAGGGAAGAUAAUGACGGUGUUUAACAAAUAAGCACCUGCUAACACCGUGCCAGCAGCCGCGGUCAUACGGAGGGUGCGAGCGUUACUCGGAAUCACUGGGCGUAAAGAGCGCGGAGGCGGGAUAGCAAGUCAGAUGUGAAAUCCUAGGGCUUAACCAUAGAACGGCAUUUGAAACUGGUAUUCUAGAGUAUGGGAGAGGUAGGUGGAAUUCUUGGUGUAGCGGUAAAAUGCGUAGAGAUCAAGAGGAAUACUGAUGGCGAAGGCGACCUGCUAGAACAUAACUGACGCUGAGGCGCGAAAGCGUGGGGAGCAAACAGGAUUAGAUACCCUAGUAGUC
Molecule: ribosomal RNA, 440 nt
Filed under: uncultured bacterium
Lineage: Bacteria
Description: partial 16S ribosomal RNA
Rfam family: Bacterial small subunit ribosomal RNA
Source: RNAcentral